Small nucleolar RNA from Suncus etruscus (white-toothed pygmy shrew), 128 nucleotides. RefSeq annotates it as small nucleolar RNA SNORA51. NCBI's taxonomy places the organism in Eukaryota, Metazoa, Chordata, Mammalia, Eulipotyphla, Soricidae. The transcript has a single exon. The record is from RefSeq and is a predicted model, not a curated record.
GGCCUCCCAAUUCUUACCACAGGCUGUGUUCUUUACACUGACUUAUAGAAAGAGUACAAUAAAUGAGCCCCAUAUACACCUCAAACCAGGCCCUUUGCCUGGUCUGUAAUGUGAAUUGGGGGACAAAA